RNAcentral lists this long non-coding RNA (723 nucleotides) under Triticum aestivum (bread wheat). RNAcentral describes it as "long non-coding RNA (TAES_LNC014907)". The record is from RNAcentral. Lineage: Eukaryota; Viridiplantae; Streptophyta; Magnoliopsida; Poales; Poaceae.
UGUUGCCAUCUUCAUCCGCGAAUUGGCUCCCAAAUCUAAAAGGUGUGGUUGCCGAAACAUGAGUCUAACAAGGCGCGGCUGCUGAACCAGGAGAACCGCAGUGAGUUUUUGAUUUCUUAUUUGUUCGUCAGUGAAUCUAUCUAGCAUAGGAUUACACCAUACAUCAUUCUUCCCAUCAUUUAUGUUCUGUAAAUGAGAUAUGCAAUUUUUCCUUGGUAUCUUGGAUAAUGACAGUCUGGUUCUUGAAGUGCGAAAAUUAAACUGAUAUAAGUUAUUUUCUUUUUCAGGACCUGGUCACAAUGAAUGAGUUUGAGACAAACCUUGUGUCAUGUGUUAUCGCACUCAGAUAUCGGAGCCUUGGAGAAUGUAAAAGAAAUGUUAAACGGGUAGAUGUGGCCCCUCUAAACUUACCUGAAUUGUUCAGCAAAGGUCCGCGAUUAAUGGUACCCAUCUACAUUCAGUAGGGCGAGUUGGUCUUGCUAUAUUGCAUUCAGGCAUAGUGUUGAUAUUUCAUCAAAAAUAAGUUCAAGCAUGAUAUUUAAGAUCAAUUCUGGAAGAAUGACCUGACACACCUGAACAUAAGAAAAACAUAAGGUGACUAAAAAAUACAUUGAACCAAAUGUGCCUGACUGAAUUUUAUUUGGAAUCGUACGUGUUAUUAUUCUUUGGAUGUGGCUGGCCAUUGCUAGCAUGCAUACAUGUAGCCACAUCUAUGUGAUAUGG